This 3516-nucleotide long non-coding RNA is filed under the name Sus scrofa (pig). RNAcentral describes it as "lncRNA (ENSSSCG00000052106.1)". Lineage: Eukaryota; Metazoa; Chordata; Mammalia; Artiodactyla; Suidae. The record is from RNAcentral.
AGGAAAUGUUGGGUGGAUAUUUAAGAGAAAAAUUAACCUUUAAGGGAUGGAUUAUAUUAUAAUAAAAAGUGAGAAGACAGUAUUUUCCAUUUAGUAUAAAUAGUUGUUGGUAACAUCUGAUAGAUUUUUUUUUUUAAUCUAAGCAGGUCCAGUGAGAAGAUGGAGGUGUACAACAAAUGUUAAUUGUAAGUGAUAACACUGCAGUAACUUUGGGUGGUCUACUUUCAUAUACACCUCACUUGAUUUUCGUAAUUGUUUCUGAGUAUCUUAAAUGGAUGAAAAACCAAGACUUGCAUUUAUAUUGGAGUUGGAGGUGGGGAGAUACUACCUGUUUGGUAGGAAAAGAAUCUUCUGCCCGCUAAGUAGUAUCCCACGAAUUAAAGUGAGUCGUGUGCAGAAGCUAAGGUAGUCUUACUUUGAACUGUUUUUUUAUAAUAAAGGAAAAAGAGUUUAAUUCAGAUAGAACGUAAAUUUGGGAGGCUUAUCCGUAUUUGUUGAUUUACUUCCCUUUUCUUCAGCAUUGUGUCUGUCAUUUUGCUUUUUUGUCUGAGCUUUCCACCAGCAUGUGGAGAAAAACCAGUGUAAUAAUAUAAGCCUCAAAAAUUAUGUAUGAGAUUUUGAGUAUAUUAAGUUAGCUUAUGAAGUUUAUUUCAUUAUAUUUCUACCCAGCUGAGGUAAAAAAUUUACAAGGAAUUUUUGAGUCUUUAAAUUUCAGCUAUUUUGUUGGGUAUGUAGUAGAAUCUUACUUGGUUUAAUUUGGAUUUUUCUGAUGACCAGUGAUGUUGAGCUAAUUUUCACAUGCUUAUUUGUCAUUUUUGUCUCAUCUUUUAUGGAUAGUCUGGUCAAGUAGUUUAUCCAUCUUUAAUUUAGUUUUUUUUUUAAUUAAGUUCUGAGAUCACUAUACUGUCUACUUGUUCUUUGGCAAAGUGUAUGAAGAAUAUUUUGUUAUGUAUGAUUUGCCUUAUUUUUAAAUGAUUUCUUUUAAAAAAAGCAGGUUUUCAUAUUUUGAUAUUUAAUUUAUAACUUUCUGUGUUUUGAGUUUAUACUUCUUACAACCUAUCUUAGAAAUCUUUGCCUAUUCCAGGGUGGCAAAUAUAUCUGUUUUCCUUGGCAAUUUGUAUAAUUUUAGCUUUUACAUUUAGGUCUAAAAUGUAUGCUGAGUUAUUUUGGGUAUCAGAAAACUUAAGUUUCAAUAUUUUUUUUCCUUAUGGGUUAACCAGUUCUAGCGCCAUUCAUUGAAAAGUUUCUCACACUGGAUUACUUUGCUAUUUAUUUUGAAAAUAAAAUGGCCAUUUAUAUAUGGGUUCAUUUCUGGGCCCUUUAUUUGCUGUUACUAAACUUCAUAUAGCCUUUUGUUGGUCCAGCAAUGGAAUUUUCUGUAGAUUUAUGGAAAUUUUUGCAAUCAAGUAGUAUAAAACUUGUGUUUUUUUAAACAAUUAGUUUAUGUCUUGAUGUUCUGUAUAUUCUUUGUUAUUUCCAUGUAUAUUUUAGAAUAAGCCAAUUUCUAAAAAUAAAAUCUGCCAUAUUUUUGGAUAAGAUUGUCUUGAACCUACAAACCAUUUGGGGAGAAUUUACAGUUUAACAAUACUGAAUAUUUCUGUUAGUAGACACGAUGCAUCUAUGUGUAUGCAUGAUAUUUUAUGUGUAUAUGUAGUAUAAUGCUGUAUAAUAUAUAUGGUAUCCAGUAUAUGUAAUCCCUGUUUAGGACUUAGGUUCUUAAAACAUGUAUUCGAGAAAAUAUCUGAGAAAAAUUUAAGAGAAAAUCAGUAUUAAACAAAUGGGUAAGCUUUGUCCCUAUGUCUUUGCCCUUUCAUAAUUGAAAAAGGUUGAAUUAUGGUCCUUUGUGCUAGUGAGAUGUUGCAAAGAAAUUGGGAAGAAUGGCUACUGUUGGUUCAGGGUUAGGCCUGAAAAGAACUAGGGAACAAGGAAAAUAAGAGUCUCAGAAUCUGAUCCUAAACUGUGUUUUGGCUUUUCAUCCCAAGAACUUUCAUAUUGAUAUCCUUUGCCACACACUGAUUUAUUCAAAAUCUCCCUGAAAGCACUUUUAUUUUUCUCUCUCCAUAUCUCUUUUAUUGCUUUGUGAUGUGUGGAAUACCUAGCUUUUUUCAGUCUAUUUAAGUAGGGCCUCCAGGUCCAUACUGUGUUUAACCUUUCCUGCCUGCUUCAGUCUCAGGCUGAUCUUGAUGUAUUCAGAAUCACAUUUCUGCAUUCUCACAGUAUCUUUGAAUAUGACUUAUUUGGCUUGGAGUUAUGUGUUCAUUCAUAUUAGGUUGGUUAUUCCAUUAUACCUUUUUACAUAAGGAAGCUUGUUAUAUGCUGUCAUAUACAUAUGUUUAAUUAUAAAGACAGGAAAAAAUAGGAGUUGAAUAAGUCUUUUUAUUCUUGUAAUUUUUCAUUUCUGUAUGUGGCAGACUGGUUUUAUGUCAACAGCAAUCAAAUAGAAGUGGCAUCUGCAGUGCUAUAUGAUGGGCUGAGAGGCUACAUCUCUACUUAGUGGUUAAAACUGGCAUUAACAGUUAGCAAGGUCUUCUAGGGUCUUGGGGAAUAGCUGCCAGUGUGUCAAACUUGCAUUAUAUUAUUUGUCCCAAAUGUGGGCUUAUUCCUUUGCUAGUCCCUGAAUUAUAAGCAUGGUUCAGAAUGUAAUUGUAAUGUUAUCUCAUUUGAGGUUUAGGAUUUCUGAUAUUCUUAUAGCAUAUGACAGUGUUGUAGUCAUUAAUUUUGGUUUCAUAUGAGCAUUUUUGAAUGAUUGUGUUUGCAUUUCAAACCAAGCUUAUUCUUUGCUGCUGUAUGUCUUCCUAUCUGCCUGUCUAUCUCUAAUAGAUAGAAAAAAAAAGUCAUUCUUUCAUCACAGGUAGUUUGCAAAGCCUUGGGCCAAAAAGUUUUGACUAACCUAAAUAGCAUUCCGCAUUUGGAAGGGGAUUAAAUGAAAUCUUUGAAAUGAAAUUCUUAGCCCAAAUUAUUUUAUGGUAAAUUUUUGGUGUUAUGGUAAAUCAUUGUUAAUAACUUUUUUCCCCUUAUCUUCUUCACACUCACAUUGUUUCAAGGUGUAUCAACCAUGCGUUUGGCUUUGCUUUGCUGUUUUCAUGCAUGGAUACCUCAAUUAGUUCAAAACUUGACUACAGUGGAAUGUGUGGUUUCUGUUUGUUUUUUGUCUUUUUGUCUUUUUAGGGCCCCACCUGCUGCAUAUAGGAGUUCCCAAACUAGGGGUCUAAUCAGAACUGUAGUUGCUGGCCUACGCCAGAGCCACAGCAACGUGGGAUCCGAGCCGUGUCUGUGACCUCUACCGCAGCCCAUGGCAACGCCGGAUCCUUAACCCACUGAGCAAGGCCAGGGAUUGAACCCGCAACCUCAUGGUUCCUAGUUGGAUUCGUUUCUGCUGUGUCACAACAGGAACCCCAUAAAUGUGUUGUUAAAAUAGUCUGGGGAGUUCCUGGUGUCACAGCAGGUUAAGGAUCAAUCCAGUGUUAUCACUGCUGUGGUGCUCGUUCGAUCCCGAGCUUGGGAACUUCCACAUGC